RNAcentral lists this ribosomal RNA (497 nucleotides) under uncultured bacterium. Its description in RNAcentral is "partial 16S ribosomal RNA". It matches the Rfam family "Bacterial small subunit ribosomal RNA", at positions 28 to 507 of the family's 1533-position model. The record is from RNAcentral.
GAUGAACGCUGGCGGCGUGCCUAAUACAUGCAAGUCGAGCGAACGGACGAGAAGCUUGCUUCUCUGAUGUUAGCGGCGGACGGGUGAGUAACACGUGGAUAACCUACCUAUAAGACUGGGAUAACUUCGGGAAACCGGAGCUAAUACCGGAUAAUAUUUUGAACCGCAUGGUUCAAAAGUGAAAGACGGUCUUGCUGUCACUUAUAGAUGGAUCCGCGCUGCAUUAGCUAGUUGGUAAGGUAACGGCUUACCAAGGCAACGAUGCAUAGCCGACCUGAGAGGGUGAUCGGCCACACUGGAGCUGAGACACGGUCCAGACUCCUACGGGAGGCAGCAGUAGGGAAUCUUCCGUAAUGGGCGAAAGCCUGACGGAGCAACGCCGCGUGAGUGAUGAAGGUCUUCGGAUCGUAAAACUCUGUUAUUAGGGAAGAACAUAUGUGUAAGUAACUGUGCACAUCUUGACGGUACCUAAUCAGAAAGCCACGGCUAACUACGUG